This is a non-coding RNA of Caenorhabditis elegans, 145 nucleotides long. NCBI's taxonomy places the organism in Eukaryota, Metazoa, Nematoda, Chromadorea, Rhabditida, Rhabditidae. The record is from Ensembl.
AUUAUAAAGUAAAGAACUUAUAAAACCGAAUUCACAAAUUUUUCUCUGCCACUUCUCUACUAAGCUCGAUGCUUGUAUGAAGUCUGAGUAUACAGAAGAAAUACCAACUUUUUUCAAACUUCAUUUCAAGCACUCAAUAUAUUUU